RNAcentral lists this ribosomal RNA (482 nucleotides) under uncultured bacterium. RNAcentral's name for it is "partial 16S ribosomal RNA". It matches the Rfam family "Bacterial small subunit ribosomal RNA", at positions 30 to 507 of the family's 1533-position model. The record is from RNAcentral.
UGACCGCUGGCGGCAGGCCUACCACAUGCAAAUCGAGCGGAUGAAGGGAGCUUGCUCCUGGAUUCAGCGGCGGACGGGUGAGUAAUGCCUAGGAAUCUGCCUGGUAGUGGGGGAUAACGUCCGGAAACGGGCGCUAAUACCGCAUACGUCCUGAGGGAGAAAGUGGGGGAUCUUCGGACCUCACGCUAUCAGAUGAGCCUAGGUCGGAUUAGCUAGUUGGUGGGGUAAAGGCCUACCAAGGCGACGAUCCGUAACUGGUCUGAGAGGAUGAUCAGUCACACUGGAACUGAGACACGGUCCAGACUCCUACGGGAGGCAGCAGUGGGGAAUAUUGGACAAUGGGCGAAAGCCUGAUCCAGCCAUGCCGCGUGUGUGAAGAAGGUCUUCGGAUUGUAAAGCACUUUAAGUUGGGAGGAAGGGCAGUAAGUUAAUACCUUGCUGUUUUGACGUUACCAACAGAAUAAGCACCGGCUAACUUCGUG